AUUGAACGCUGGCGGCAUGCCUUACACAUGCAAGUCGAACGGCAGCACGGGAGCUUGCUCCUGGUGGCGAGUGGCGAACGGGUGAGUAAUACAUCGGAACGUACCCUGAAGUGGGGGAUAACGUAGCGAAAGUUACGCUAAUACCGCAUAUUCUGUGAGCAGGAAAGAGGGGGAUCGCAAGACCUCUUGCUUUAGGAGCGGCCGAUGUCGGAUUAGCUAAUUGGUGAGGUAAAGGCUCACCAAGGCGACGAUCCGUAGCGGGUCUGAGAGGAUGAUCCGCCACACUGGGACUGAGACACGGCCCAGACUCCUACGGGAGGCAGCAGUGGGGAAUUUUGGACAAUGGGCGCAAGCCUGAUCCAGCCAUGCCGCGUGAGUGAAGAAGGCCU
This 389-nucleotide ribosomal RNA is filed under the name uncultured bacterium. RNAcentral's name for it is "bacterial SSU rRNA". It matches the Rfam family "Bacterial small subunit ribosomal RNA", at positions 30 to 417 of the family's 1533-position model. The record is from RNAcentral.